This 429-nucleotide ribosomal RNA is filed under the name Bacillota bacterium. RNAcentral's name for it is "Firmicutes bacterium partial 16S ribosomal RNA". It matches the Rfam family "Bacterial small subunit ribosomal RNA", at positions 355 to 776 of the family's 1533-position model. Lineage: Bacteria; Bacillati; Bacillota. The record is from RNAcentral.
UGGGGAAUUUUGGACAAUGGGCGAAAGCCUGAUCCAGCAAUGCCGCGUGUGUGAAGAAGGCCUUCGGGUUGUAAAGCACUUUUGUCCGGAAAGAAAUGGCUCUGGUUAAUACCUGGGGUCGAUGACGGUACCGGAAGAAUAAGGACCGGCUAACUACGUGCCAGCAGCCGCGGUAAUACGUAGGGUCCAAGCGUUAAUCGGAAUUACUGGGCGUAAAGCGUGCGCAGGCGGUUGUGCAAGACCGAUGUGAAAUCCCCGAGCUUAACUUGGGAAUUGCAUGGGUGACUGCACGGCUAGAGUGUGUCAGAGGGGGGUAGAAUUCCACGUGUAGCAGUGAAAUGCGUAGAGAUGUGGAGGAAUACCGAUGGCGAAGGCAGCCCCCUGGGAUAACACUGACGCUCAUGCACGAAAGCGUGGGGAGCAAACAGG